This 71-nucleotide transfer RNA is filed under the name Nototriton abscondens. Its description in RNAcentral is "tRNA-Leu". It matches the Rfam family "tRNA". From Rfam's summary of the family: Transfer RNA (tRNA) molecules are approximately 80 nucleotides in length. The record is from RNAcentral. Lineage: Eukaryota; Metazoa; Chordata; Amphibia; Caudata; Plethodontidae.
ACUUUUAAAGGAUAAUAGUAAUCCUCUGGUCUUAGGAACCAAUAAUCUUAGUGCAAUUCUAAGUAAAAGUU